This 163-nucleotide small RNA is filed under the name Novosphingobium lindaniclasticum LE124. RNAcentral's name for it is "Novosphingobium sp. LE124 Manganese Mn2+ riboswitch aptamer (yybP-ykoY)". The stretch from base 1 to 132 matches the Rfam family "Manganese Mn2+ riboswitch aptamer (yybP-ykoY)". From Rfam's summary of the family: This RNA was originally discovered in E. coli during a large scale screen and was named SraF. The family was later found to exist upstream of related families of protein genes in many bacteria, including the the yybP and ykoK genes in B. subtilis. The record is from Rfam by way of RNAcentral. RNAcentral also lists the same sequence under 1 other name. Lineage: Bacteria; Pseudomonadati; Pseudomonadota; Alphaproteobacteria; Sphingomonadales; Sphingomonadaceae.
CGCCGCGUCAUCUGGGGAGUAGCCGCCUGCGCCCCCUUGUCUCGGCCAUCGCCUGGGCAAGACCAGCAGGACCUGUCGUCAACAUACUUGGUCGAGAGACCAUGGCGCACAGGAGGACGGAAAGGACCGUCCGGGCGAGACCAAUGGCGUUGCAGCUCCGUCC